GGUGUAUGUGGCCAUGGGACCAUUUUUGCCAUUUGAAAUGUAGUAUCCGGUCAUCGAAACCAGGAUCGUUCAAUAAAAUAAAGGGUUUAUUUUAAAAUGGUCUGGGACACAGUUUACGUACGUUUCAAAAAUACCAGGUGCACAAUUUACGCAGUUUAGCCAGUGACGUUGGACAGCUACACUAAAUGCAUUAUUUGUCACAAAAACGUUUGGUAACGACGAUAACGUUUACGUGCGAUCACGUUGCUGGCUUCGAGUACAGGCCUAAUUGUCUGGACGGCACUCAGGACAUAACCGUGAGUUCGUUCAUGCGUCAUAUAAGUCGAUUUCGAAAAAACACGCUGCAAUAAAUUUAAUACCAAAACAAAUAGUUACACUACAUAACAAUUUAAUAUUAAGUAUAAUAUUUUUACAUUAUUUUGAACAAAUAUUCAACGUUAUAUUUUAUAAAAUAAUAACACAAUAAUAUAUUAUAUUUUAAUAUUCAUUCAAAUAUUUUGUAUAAACUUAUUUCGAAAAGUAAUAUGUAUACUUUAUAUUAUAACAAUAUGUAAACAUAA
This is a long non-coding RNA of Aphis gossypii (cotton aphid), 560 nucleotides long. RefSeq lists it as uncharacterized. The transcript is spliced from 3 exons. The record is from RefSeq and is a predicted model, not a curated record. NCBI's taxonomy places the organism in Eukaryota, Metazoa, Arthropoda, Insecta, Hemiptera, Aphididae.